ACUCAGUCCAUGUCUAACUUCUUGGGCCCAUGUCUGUCCUUGCUCAGCCCUCAACCUCAGAAAUGCCCAGAAGAGACAUCUUCUCUAAGAAACAAUAGAAGAUGGGUCCUAACAGGAUAUGAAACUAGCAGGUCACGAAAACCGCACCUUCCCAGUGUGAUUAUCAUCUUAGGUUCUCUUCCAGGCCAUCUGUGCCAGCCCCCACCCCUCACUGUGUCUCCAUCAAAUGCAGGGACUCAGUGGUUGCAGAUGACCUCUAUCCCAGGUGGGAAAGUCAAUUUCUGGAACAUGAGCCCAAUCUCACAGCACUCCGAUAAGAAUGAUGAGUGCCAGAAGCCACAAAGCUUGGACGCGAACCAGGUGUCUUCCAUCCUGGAAUCCUUUCUCCAGGCUGAUGUCAGGCACCUCAGUGGUGAGAAGUGGACCGCUUCCCCUUCCCCAGCUCCCUCUCGCCUUAAGCCUGGCUGGUAAGUGUGACAUUCUACUAGACUAGAGCCACGCCAA
This is a long non-coding RNA of Myotis daubentonii (Daubenton's bat), 504 nucleotides long. RefSeq lists it as uncharacterized. NCBI's taxonomy places the organism in Eukaryota, Metazoa, Chordata, Mammalia, Chiroptera, Vespertilionidae. The record is from RefSeq and is a predicted model, not a curated record.